GAGCGCAACUGACGCUGAAGCUCGAAAGUGCGGGUAUCGAACAGGAUUAGAUACCCUGGUAGUCCGCACGGUAAACGAUGGAUGCCCGCUCUUCGGUCAUUAGACCGUGAGGCCAAGUGAAAACAUUAAGCAUCCCACCUGGGGAGUACGCCGGCAACGGUGAAACUCAAAGGAAUUGACGGGGGCCCGCACAAGCGGAGGAACAUGUGGUUUAAUUCGAUGAUACGCGAGGAACCCUACCCGGGCUUGAAUUGCUGGUGAACGAUACAGAGAUGUUGAGGUCCUUCGGGACACCAGUGAAGGUGCUGCAUGGUUGUCGUCAGCUCGUGCCGUGAGGUGUCGGCUCAAGUGCCAUAACGAGCGCAACCCCUUUCUUCAGUUGCCAUCAGACUAUGCUGGGCACUCUGGAGAUACUGCCACCGCAAGGUGUGAGGAAGGUGGGGAUGACGUCAAAUCAGCACGGCCCUUACGUCCGGGGCUACACACGUGUUACAAUGGGGGGUACAGAAAGCCGGCUGCCCGCAAGGUCAGUCCAAUCAAGAAAGCCUCCCUCAGUUCGGACUGGGGUCUGCAACCCGACCCCACGAAGCUGGAUUCGCUA
RNAcentral lists this ribosomal RNA (601 nucleotides) under uncultured bacterium. RNAcentral describes it as "bacterial SSU rRNA". It matches the Rfam family "Bacterial small subunit ribosomal RNA", at positions 732 to 1337 of the family's 1533-position model. The record is from RNAcentral.